This 1126-nucleotide long non-coding RNA is filed under the name Felis catus (domestic cat). RNAcentral describes it as "lncRNA (ENSFCAG00000041769.2)". The record is from RNAcentral. Lineage: Eukaryota; Metazoa; Chordata; Mammalia; Carnivora; Felidae.
UCUAGAUAAUCAGACUGAAGUGUGCCCAAAGAAUGUUUAAAAAUCCGAUGACCGAGGCAGAAGAAAAUCCAUUUUGUAACUGUUGACAGCGAUUUGGGCAGCCAGACAUGCAGCACCGGGAGCGCCUGCUUUAUUUUUCUUCUUUCUCCUUGUGCCUCUAGAGCUAUUAUAGUGAUCAGCCUUCCACCCACUAAAAAUGUAAGUCAUCAGAGAACAGGGACUUUGGCUGGUUUUGCUCACGAUUAACACAGUAAGUUUACAAGUAAAUAACUAAUUAAAAAUACAUUAACUUAUAGGGAAGCUUGUUCAAAAUUGAACCUGAGUUUCACAAGUCAUGGUGUGGCUUGGGAAAGGAGGGUUGCGGAUAGAAACGGAAGUGGAGACACAGGAAGGGCUGCAGCGGGAGGGGUCUGAGUGGGGGAAACAGGGUGGUUGAAAGAAAGGAGGAAGGGAAGGGUAGGAGUUCAGCCUGCAGAGAUGGGAGCAGCGUUCUCGAAUGUUCAUGGGAAGAUUAAGUGGGACCCCAGCCAGGGAAAUACAUUCCUACUCAGUCUAUUCCUGUUUUGCAUCUCUUUUGUGGGCUUCAUGCCCAAUGUGGGGCUUGAACUCACAACCCUGGGAUCAAGUAUCAGAUGCUCUACCGACUGAGCCAGCUGGGCGCCCCCUUAUUUGUAUUGUUCUUGAUGAAAAUGUCAGGAUUCAUCUAUUUUGAUGGGGAGUGUUCUUAUUAAAGGAGCCCCAUUGGAAUGUAUUAAUGGCCUUCAUCCUCCUGGUGAAAUCUCUACAGAUAAGGCUCAGCGUGUAUUAUCUCCCAGGGAGUGUUUAUAUUUUAUCGGCGAAGACUUACAAGCUCAGAAAGCCUUCAAGGGGUGAAGAAUGAGCCUCUAAAAGAAAAUUUAAGGGCGCCCGGGUGGCUCAGUUGGCUGGGCGUCCGACUUCGGCUCAGAUCACGAUCUCACAGUUUGCAAGUUUGAGCCCCGCGUCGGGCUCUGUGCUGACAGCUCAGAGCCUGGAGCCUGCUUCGGAUUCUGGGUCUCCCUCUCUCUCUGCCCCACCCCUGCUCAUGCUCUGUCUGUCUGUCUCGCUCAGAAAUAAAGAUUAAAAAAAUUUAAAAGAAAGAAAUUUU